UAUUGAUCAUUUUUAGAAAUAUGACAUGACAGCUGGUAAUACUGACUGUGCUAAAAGCUGUUUGGAUUACGUGUAUCUAGAUGUGGAGAAUGGAGCUUUUACAGGUUAAACCUCUCGUACAUAUGGGAAGGAACACUGGAGACUAUUCCUAGCUAUAUGACAAUAGAUCAGGUGACCAGUCCAUCGAGGUCAUUUACCUAGUGAAAGGUUUCAGGUUAAGACCACAGCGUCAGUCAGUUGCUAAACGUAGACAGCUGCUAUAGCAACACCAGGUGCUCAUAUUCAGGAAAGAGGUUUCAAUG
This 302-nucleotide long non-coding RNA is filed under the name Lingula anatina. RNAcentral describes it as "uncharacterized LOC106171728, transcript variant X2". The record is from RNAcentral. Lineage: Eukaryota; Metazoa; Brachiopoda; Lingulata; Lingulida; Lingulidae.